Molecule: non-coding RNA, 88 nt
Organism: Nemania abortiva
Lineage: Eukaryota; Fungi; Ascomycota; Sordariomycetes; Xylariales; Xylariaceae
Source: the annotation of a GenBank genome assembly
GCCCGGUUAGCUCAAUUGGAUAGAGCGUGAGACUCUUAAUCUCAAGGUUGCGGGUGAGUAACAGCAUGUUCGACACACUGACGAAGCA